RNAcentral lists this ribosomal RNA (253 nucleotides) under uncultured bacterium. RNAcentral's name for it is "partial 16S ribosomal RNA". It matches the Rfam family "Bacterial small subunit ribosomal RNA", at positions 524 to 776 of the family's 1533-position model. The record is from RNAcentral.
UACAGAGGUCCCAAGCGUUGUUCGGAUUCAUUGGGCGUAAAGGGUGCGUAGGUGGCGCGCUAAGUCAGGUGUGAAAUCUCGGAGCUUAACUCCGAAACUGCAUUCGAUACUGCCGUGCUUGAGGACUGGAGAGGAGACUGGAAUUUACGGUGUAGCGGUGAAAUGCGUAGAUAUCGUAAGGAAGACCAGUGGCGAAGGCGGGUCUCUGGACAGUUCCUGACGCUGAGGCACGAAGGUCAGGGGAGCAAACGGG